GUUACUCAUCAAACAUCUUGUGCAUAUACUCCACACCAAAAUGAAGUUGUAGAACGUAAAAAUCAUCAUUUAUUAGAUGUUAUUCGUGUUCUUCUUUGUCAUAUGCAUGUUUCUAAACGUUUUUGGAGUGAUACUGUACUUAUUGCAUGCUAUCUUAUUAAUUGCAUGCAUUCUCCAUUUUGGACUAUGCAUCUCGUUUCUAUUUUUUGUUUUCCUCAUCUCUACUAUACUCAUUAUCUCUUAAGGUUUUGGGUAUGUUUGUUAUGUUCAUCCAUUUGUCUUGGUCGUGAUAAACUUGACUCUCACUUUAUAAGACGUAUUUUUCUUGGUUAUUCCAAAACACAGAAGGGGCAUCGUUGCUAUAGUCCUUCUCUGCAAUGCUACGUUGUAAGUGCAGAUAUCACUUUCGAUGAUUUUACACUUGAUUUCUUUGAUUAUAGUACGUCUUCUGAAUCUAAUUGAGAUCUCCUUAGCUUACGCAUCCCAUAUCUAUCAAUUGGUAUUUCUACGGAACCAGUCUCCUCUUCAUCUAUUACAUCAGGGUCAUCUUUCUUUAUAAGGAACCACCACCUCCUUUACAGGUUUAUACUUGAUGAUCUAAGCCACCAAUGCUCGUGGCCCGAUUCAUCACCUUGCUGUCGAUAGAUCAUGCUUUUGUCGGUUGUUCUGAUCUUGAGUCAUUGUCCAUUGCCUUCCUUAAAGGUAAACGUAUUUGUGUAACUAAAUAUCCUAUCAACCACUAUGUCAUUUUUGAUUCGUUGUCGUCUUCAUUUUCUUGUUUCACGUUGUAGCUUUCUAGUAUUUUUGUACUUAAAACCAGUGAUAGAAGCUUUAUCUAUCAUGUGUGACGAAAGGCUAUGGAAUUCGAAAUGUUAGUCUUACACAAGAAUAAGACUUGGGACCUUGAAGGUAAACGUAUUUGUGUAACUAAAUAUCCUAUCAACCACUAUGUCAUUUUUGAUUCGUUGUCGUCUUCAUUUUCUUGUUUCACGUUGUAGCUUUCUAGUAUUUUUGUACUUAAAACCAGCGAUAGAAGCUUUAUCUAUCAUGUGUGACGAAAGGCUAUGGAAUUCGAAAUGUUAGUCUUACACAAGAAUAAGACUUGGGAC
RNAcentral lists this long non-coding RNA (1109 nucleotides) under Olea europaea (common olive). RNAcentral's name for it is "long non-coding RNA (OEUR_LNC007224)". Lineage: Eukaryota; Viridiplantae; Streptophyta; Magnoliopsida; Lamiales; Oleaceae. The record is from RNAcentral.